UACGUAGGUGGCAAGCGUUGUCCGGAUUUACUGGGCGUAAAGAGCGCGCAGGCGGCUGGUCAAGUCCGAUGUGAAAUCUCCCGGCUUAACUGGGAAACUGCAUCGGAAACUGAUCGGCUUGAAGGUGGGAGAGGGUAGUGGAAUUCCCGGUGUAGUGGUGAAAUGCGUAGAUAUCGUAAGGAAGACCAGUGGCGAAGGCGGGUCUCUGGACAGUUCCUGACGCUGAGGCACGAAGGCCAGGGGAGCAAACGGG
RNAcentral lists this ribosomal RNA (253 nucleotides) under uncultured bacterium. Its description in RNAcentral is "partial 16S ribosomal RNA". It matches the Rfam family "Bacterial small subunit ribosomal RNA", at positions 524 to 776 of the family's 1533-position model. The record is from RNAcentral.